UUUGAAAUGUAAUGUAAGUCGCUUUGGAUAAAAGCGUCAGCUAAAUGACCUGUA
Gasterosteus aculeatus (three-spined stickleback) is the source of this 54-nucleotide non-coding RNA. The record is from Rfam. NCBI's taxonomy places the organism in Eukaryota, Metazoa, Chordata, Actinopteri, Perciformes, Gasterosteidae.